ACGGGAGGCAGCAGUGGGGAAUAUUGGGCAAUGGGCGCAAGCCUGACCCAGCAACGCCGCGUGAAGGAUGAAGGUCUUUGGAUUGUAAACUUCUUUAAUCGGGGAAGAAAAAAAUGACCUACCCGAAGAGUAAGCCACGGCUAACUACGUGCCAGCAGCCGCGGUAAUACGUAGGUGGCAAGCGUUAUCCGGAUUUACUGGGUGUAAAGGGCGUGUAGGCUGCUCUGUAAGUCAGAAGUGAAAUUCCCGAGCUCAACUUUGGCGCUGCUUCUGAAACUACAGAACUUGAGUACUGGAGGGGAAAGCGGAAUUCCUAGUGUAGCGGUGAAAUGCGCAGAUAUUAGGAGGAACACCGGUGGCGAAGGCGGCUUUCUGGACAGUAACUGACGCUUAGGCGCGAAAGCGUGGGGAGCAAACAGGAUUAGAUACCCUGGUA
RNAcentral lists this ribosomal RNA (436 nucleotides) under uncultured Saccharofermentans sp. Its description in RNAcentral is "partial 16S ribosomal RNA". It matches the Rfam family "Bacterial small subunit ribosomal RNA", at positions 341 to 792 of the family's 1533-position model. The record is from RNAcentral. Lineage: Bacteria; Bacillati; Bacillota; Clostridia; Eubacteriales; Oscillospiraceae.